Molecule: ribosomal RNA, 153 nt
Filed under: uncultured eukaryote
Lineage: Eukaryota
Description: partial small subunit ribosomal RNA
Rfam family: Eukaryotic small subunit ribosomal RNA
Source: RNAcentral
CCCUGCCAUUUGUACACACCGCCCGUCGCUACUACCGAUUGAGUGUUUUAGUGAGGCCUCGGGACUGGCGCCCGGAGGUUGAAUAAACCUCUUGGUGCCGGGAACUUGGUCAAACUUGAAUACUUAGAGGAAGUAAAAGUCGUAACAAGGUUU